GAUGAACGCUGGCGGCGUGCUUAACACAUGCAAGUCGAACGGAAAGGCUCCUGCUUGCAGGGGUACUCGAGUGGCGAACGGGUGAGUAACACGUGGGUGAUCUGCCCUGCACUUCGGGAUAAGCCUGGGAAACUGGGUCUAAUACCGGAUAGGACCACAUUUUGGAUGGUGUGGUGGAAAGUUUUUCGGUGUGGGAUGAGCUCGCGGCCUAUCAGCUUGUUGGUGGGGUAAUGGCCUACCAAGGCGUCGACGGGUAGCCGGCCUGAGAGGGUGUACGGCCACAUUGGGACUGAGAUGCGGCCCAGACUCCUACGGGAGGCAGCAGUGGGGAAUAUUGCACAAUGGGCGCAAGCCUGAUGCAGCGACGCCGCGUGGGGGAUGACGGCCUUCGGGUUGUAAACUCCUUUCGCUAGGGACGAAGCGCAAGUGACGGUACCUGGAGAAGAAGCACUGGCUAACUACGUG
This 465-nucleotide ribosomal RNA is filed under the name uncultured bacterium. Its description in RNAcentral is "partial 16S ribosomal RNA". It matches the Rfam family "Bacterial small subunit ribosomal RNA", at positions 28 to 507 of the family's 1533-position model. The record is from RNAcentral.